Molecule: ribosomal RNA, 400 nt
Filed under: phytoplankton environmental sample
Lineage: Eukaryota
Description: partial small subunit ribosomal RNA
Rfam family: Eukaryotic small subunit ribosomal RNA
Source: RNAcentral
AGCUCCAAUAGCGUAUAUUAAAGUUGUUGCAGUUAAAAAGCUCGUAGUUGGAUCUGAGGACUAGAGAUGAUGGUGCGAUAACUUCGUAACUGUUAUCUCUGCCUAAAAAGGCGGUGCUAGGCUUUGGUGCUCUUCAUUGAGUGCCUCUGCUGCCCGUCAAGUUUACUUUGAAAAAAUUAGAGUGCUCAAAGCAGGCGCUUUGCCUGAAUAAUGGUGCAUGGAAUAAUGGAAUAAGAUCUUCGGAUCUAUUUUGUUGGUUUUCGGAAGCCGAGAUAAUGAUUAAGAGAGACAGACGGGGGCAUUCGUAUUGUGGUGUUAGAGGUGAAAUUCUUGGAUCGCCGCAAGACGAACAACUGCGAAAGCAUUUGCCAAGCAUGUUUUCAUUAAUCAAGAACGAAAG